This 576-nucleotide ribosomal RNA is filed under the name Aeromonas veronii. Its description in RNAcentral is "bacterial SSU rRNA". It matches the Rfam family "Bacterial small subunit ribosomal RNA", at positions 572 to 1146 of the family's 1533-position model. Lineage: Bacteria; Pseudomonadati; Pseudomonadota; Gammaproteobacteria; Aeromonadales; Aeromonadaceae. The record is from RNAcentral.
CAGGCGGUUGGAUACAAUUAGAUGGAAAGCCCGGGCUCAACCUGGGAAUUGCAUUUAAAACUGUCCAGCUUGAGUCUUGUAGAGGGGGGUAGAAUUCCAGGUGUAGCGGUGAAAUGCGUAGAGAUCUGGAGGAAUACCGGUGGCGAAGGCGGCCCCUGGACAAAGACUGACGCUCAGGUGCGAAAGCGUGGGGAGCAAACAGGAUUAGAUACCCUGGUAGUUCACGCCGUAAACGAUGUCUGAUUUGGAGGCUGUGUACCGUGAGACGUGGCUUCCGGAGCUAACGCGUUAAAUCGACCGCCUGGGGAGUACGGCCGCAAGGUUAAAACUCAAAUGAAUUGACGGGGGCCCGCACAAGCGGUGGAGCAUGUGGUUUAAUUCGAUGCAACGCGAAGAACCUUACCUGGCCUUGACAUGUCUGGAAUCCUGCAGAGAUGCGGGAGUGCCUUCGGGAAUCAGAACACAGGUGCUGCAUGGCUGUCGUCAGCUCGUGUCGUGAGAUGGUGGGUUAAGUCCCGCAACGAGCGCAACCCCCUGUCCUUUGUUGCCAGCACGUAAUGGUGGGAACUCAAGGGA